This 1172-nucleotide long non-coding RNA is filed under the name Heterocephalus glaber (naked mole-rat). Its description in RNAcentral is "lncRNA (ENSHGLG00100050661.1)". The record is from RNAcentral. Lineage: Eukaryota; Metazoa; Chordata; Mammalia; Rodentia; Bathyergidae.
GCUGUUUCUCGGUACUGAGAGGUCAACACCGCGCUAGGCACCAGUGCUCCCUUUUACUUCCCUCUGAGCUCUUUCUGGCGGUGGCCCUGAGAGCGUUGAGGCUUAGGGGAAGGGUCAGGUCCCCAGAACUCCCGGGCGCUGGCUGCUGCGGUCUCCCCAUCAUACCCCCAGCCCAGCCCUCCGCAGCCUUUCCCACUCUGGCGUGUGGCCUGAGCCUUGUGACUCACAGAACCCCUGGCUGGCCCCUGCCUGUCAGCACCCUGCGAGAUUCUGCAUGCUCCUGUCCCUUCCCACCCGGGCCAGGCACCAAGGAUAACUGGAUGUGGCCUGGCCAUCUAGCUGACUUGAAGGUCUCCAGAGGUUCCCCACCUUUAGCUUGCCAUGGGCAGGUCCUGGGAAAAUGCCACCUAGAGUCAGGAGAAGGCAAGGCUGGGGGUUGUAUCCCAAGGGGUCUCUUAGGAGAGGGUGACUUUGCUGCAGCAGAGCUCUGGUGCCAGCCCCUCUCUAGGCAGUUGAUGACCUAGAGGGCUAAGGUCAGCUCUGCCCUAGAGCCUGGCGUGGGGUGUCCCUGGCCAUGGGGUUCCUGGGACUCUCCCCACCGGCUGCCCAAACCUGCCAGGAAGAUGGAAGAAGUCCACCACUCAAGCCAGGAGGAGCUUCUUCCAAACACAUGGGAGCUUUUCAGAGCCAGUAUAGACUUGAGCCAGGAAGCAGAGACCAGUGCAGAGGUGGGAUCCAUCUCACUUCCGCCUGUCCCCAAGCCCCUGUCCCCAAGCCUUGCGCCAGCACAGGCAGGUACCAGCCCACUCUGGAGCCCUCAGUCCUUAGGGGGAGGAAGGAUGGGGGUGGUGCCCUGUGUAAUGAGGCUCCCCUUUGUCCUGUGCCAGACAGAGCCAGGCUUCAUCACGAGUGGCAGGAGAGAGGGACCAGAUCUGAGGUGCAAGCAGGUUCCUGAGAUCUCAGGAGACUCUACUGUCUCGUGGGGACACGGGGCCUAGAGGAGACGGGGAAUUUGUCCCCUCUGCAGACCAUCUGUGCUCUACUCGGGCCUUCCUGUGCCCAGGGGAACAGGCCCUACACCGUGUGGCAAAGCCUGUGGCCAGCUGUGCCCCACCCAGCCUCUCUUUGUGGGGUUACCCCAUUUUAGAGUUCUGUCUAAAAUCUCUAUCAAC